Molecule: ribosomal RNA, 445 nt
Filed under: uncultured Acidobacteriota bacterium
Lineage: Bacteria; Pseudomonadati; Acidobacteriota
Description: bacterial SSU rRNA
Rfam family: Bacterial small subunit ribosomal RNA
Source: RNAcentral
AGAGUUUGAUCAUGGCUCAGAAUCAACGCUGGCGGCGUGCCUAACACAUGCAAGUCGAACGCGAAAGGGGCUUCGGCCCUGAGUAGAGUGGCAGACGGGUGAGUAACGCGUGGGUGACCUACCCUCGAGCGGGGGAUAACGUUCCGAAAGGGACGCUAAUACCGCAUGACAUCCUGUUCUUGGACGGAUGGUGAUCAAAGCUGGGGAUCGCAAGACCUGGCACUCGAGGAGGGGCCCGCGUCCGAUUAGCUAGUUGGUGAGGUAACGGCUCACCAAGGCUCCGAUCGGUAGCCGGCCUGAGAGGGCGGACGGCCACACUGGGACUGAGACACGGCCCAGACUCCUACGGGAGGCAGCAGUGGGGAAUUGUUCGCAAUGGGCGCAAGCCUGACGACGCAACGCCGCGUGGAGGAUGAAGAUCUUCGGGUCGUAAACUCCUGUCGAA